GCAAACUGGCGGCGUGCCUAAUCAUGCAAGUACAACGCUGACCUCUGGUGCUUGCACUAGAGUGAUGAGUUGCGAACGGGUGAGUAACGCGUAGGUAACCUACCUUUAAGCGGGGGAUAACUAUUGGAAACGAUAGCUAAUACCGCAUAACAACUUUUAACACAUGUUAGGAGUUUGAAAGGGGCAACUGCCUCACUUAGAGAUGGACCUGCGUUGUAUUAGCUAGUUGGUAGGGUAAAGGCCUACCAAGGCGACGAUACAUAGCCGACCUGAGAGGGUGAUCGGCCACACUGGGACUGAGACACGGCCCAGACUCCUACGGGAGGCGGCAGUAGGGAAUCUUCGGCAAUGGGGGCAACCCUGACCGAGCAACGCCGCGUGAGUGAAGAAGGUUUUAGGAUCGUAAAGCUCUGUUGUAAGAGAAGAAUGUUGUGUAGAGUGGAAAGUUACACAAGUGACGGUAUCUUACCAAAAAGGGACGGCUAACUACGUGCCACCAGCCGCGGUAAU
Molecule: ribosomal RNA, 510 nt
Filed under: uncultured bacterium
Lineage: Bacteria
Description: bacterial SSU rRNA
Rfam family: Bacterial small subunit ribosomal RNA
Source: RNAcentral